This 1317-nucleotide long non-coding RNA is filed under the name Gallus gallus (chicken). The record is from RNAcentral. Lineage: Eukaryota; Metazoa; Chordata; Aves; Galliformes; Phasianidae.
CAGCUGGGCACUGUUGUGAAAGCUGUGAAGAGGCAUAAAUACGUUCUUAGUAAACUUGCAAGUUAAUUAUGUAAGUUGAAUUAAUUUCUUUUAUAUAUGAAACUUUUGUUCUUUUUGCUUGCAGGAAAAUAGCAAAAAAUUAAAAAUGAAGUUUCCACCUAAGAUUGCAAACAGGAAAACAAAAAGCAAAACAAAUAAGGGGGGGAUAACUCAGCCAAACAUAAACGAUAGCUUGGAAAUUACCAAACUGGACUCUUCCAUCAUUUCAGAAGGGAAAAUAUCUACUGUUGCACCGCAGAUCCAGGCUUUUACGCUACAGAAGGCAGCAGCAGGUUUGAUGAGCCUUCUUCGUGACAUGGGAAAAGGUUAUUUAGCCUUGUGCUCAUACAACUGCAAAGAAGCGAUAAAUAUUCUAAGCCAUUUGCCAUCUCACCACUACAACACUGGCUGGGUGCUGUGCCAAAUUGGGAGAGCUUACUUUGAACUCGCAGAAUACAUGCAGGUAGGAAGUGUGUGUGGUUGGUUUUGAAUCUCUGUCAGCAGUCAUUCUUUCCUGAAGUUGAGUUAUGCUUCAGACUUCUUUUAAGGCUGAAGUUAUUUCCUCUUCAUCCAGCCCUGGGGGUUUUCCCUCUGCCUCUCCCCAUCUUCACCCUCAGUUGUGCUGAUGCAGCUGUUUGUACUGCAGUGCUGUAAAUGAUAUCACUGAAACAGUUUAGGUUCCAAAAUCAGGUGUUCUUCUCCCCCCCCCCCCCCCCCAUUUAGUUCAUGCAGAUCCUGUCAAUGACCUGGUUCCCUUUGCAGCAUGCAGAAUGACUGCAUUUGUACAGCUGAGGUGAUAUCAGACUGCUUCAGAACAGAAGCAAGCAGCUAAGAUGAAUCCAGCCGUUCAACUCUCCUCUCUGUUGUCCUGAUAGUUGGUGUGCUUGUUUCCUGCAGGAGUCACAAGCAGGGAGGGCAGCUGGAGUUCUGCUUGGCCUAACUGUAUUGGAGUGUAGUCAUUUCUUUUGUUUGGAGGGGAAGAUAAAAAUACAACAGGACUUGUAGCUCUGCAUCAUAUGCUUGCAUAGCAAAGAAUUCUCAGUCUGGACAUAUGAGGCUUCUAACUUUGAUCUGUGUGCUCUGCUUGGGUGGGUGGAAUUGCUCUAAGUUUGAUUUCUCAUUUCCUUUCUUAGGCUGAAAGGAUAUUUUCAGAAGUGAGGAGGAUUGAAAACUACAGAGUAGAAGGCAUGGAGAUCUAUUCAACUACGCUGUGGCAUCUGCAGAAAGACGUUGCUCUUUCAGUUCUUUCAAAGGAUUUAACAGACAUGGAUAAAAAAC